AGCAGUCGCCGCGGUAAUACGGAGGGUGCAAGCGUUAAUCGGAAUUACUGGGCGUAAAGCGCACGCAGGCGGUUUGUUAAGUCAGAUGUGAAAUCCCCGAGCCUAACUUGGGAACUGCAUUUGAAACUGGCAAGCUAGAGUCUUGUAGAGGGGGGUAGAAUUCCAGGUGUAGCGGUGAAAUGCGUAGAGAUCUGGAGGAAUACCGGUGGCGAAGGCGGCCCCCUGGACAAAGACUGACGCUCAGGUGCGAAAGCGAGGGGAGCAAACAGGAUUAGAUACCGCGUAGUCCCUGUCUCUUAUACA
This 303-nucleotide ribosomal RNA is filed under the name uncultured bacterium. RNAcentral's name for it is "partial 16S ribosomal RNA". It matches the Rfam family "Bacterial small subunit ribosomal RNA", at positions 507 to 808 of the family's 1533-position model. The record is from RNAcentral.